AGAGUCUCAGAUGUAAUGGGGUUCCCAAGCUGAUGUAGAGGAUAUUAGCUGAUGAGGAUUUUUUUUGCCCCUACAAACUUCAUGCUACAAAGCAAGACAAUGUUUGUAAAGAACAGAAUAUCAGCAUGAGAACAGAAAUGCACAAUCAGAAACAUCACUCAAUUUCUAUCCAUGCAUUUCACCAAGUUUUGUUGAUGGACAUAUCACUGGUUACUGCUGGAUUUCUAACUCAGGUGGCUGGGAUCCUAAAGUCUCAUGUAAAUGAGAUUCCCAAAUCCUCUAUCAACACGCAUUGCCUAACUUCUAGUCCUGGCCCCCAGAAUAUUUUACGCAAGCUGAAAAUUGGAAAUGAGGAUCAUGUAAGGACACAGCUAUCACCUGGCUAUUUCAUAAAAGCAUAGUGCCACAUCUCUUGGAACUAUGAAAAGAGUGACAGCCAAAAGCCUCACACAAUUUACCUAGGAAUGCAGGCUAGAUAUAAAAUGAUUCUCCUGAGAUCCUCCUGCCAUAUACUGUUGUGAUUGCUGCAGGCUGAAAAUGUUAAAAGUGACCUCCAUGCUUACCUCUACCACCUAAAAAACAAACAUUGGGAACACAUUUAGACUAAGGAGGAUGAGAUGAGACUCUCUCCAUUUCAAGUUGAAUGUUCUCAUCUAUUCACUCAGUCCAAAUGAUACCUAAGUGAACCACAGAGUGUGGAAGAAUCACUCACUGCCCAAGAUUUCUCAGGUCAUCUGAGCUGUGUAAAUCUCAGAUGGGACUCAGAAGAACAAGUCUUAGUUUGAAGGACAAAUAGAAGGUUCAGCAGAUGGCUUGUCUUUUCCUUCAGUGUGUUGGAAGAACACCUUCCUUUAAUUUAAUAUGUGGGGAGAAAAUGUUCUUGUGUGUGUGUGCUUUCUUGCCUCUCCACUCCUUCCUCACCACCCCUUUCCUAUGCCCUCUUCUGCAUUCUGAACCUUCUUUUCUUCUGCAUCACUUAAAAUGGGUUCUUAAAAGUCUUAAAAGGAAAAAGAAAAGAUGCUAUUCAAACGUUAUCCCAAUGAUGACUUAUUAAAUGUGAUAUCCGCUGCAUCUGACCACCAAUAGCCAAGCUUUGUCAAACUCUUACACAAAGUCACACAUACAAAACGAGAAAGAUGGGCAAGAAAUCACUUUAGAGAAGAACUAGAUUAGCUCAAGGACUUUUGAAAAAUUACACCAUACACCAGGAGUACAAAUCUCAGGCAGGCAUAUUUCUCAUUGAAAGGAACACAAUUCGAACACAGUAAGACUGAGUACUUUUGGUGAAACUGUCAUAUUUACUCUGUAUUUCUCUCAAAGUUGUUAGUAAUGUAGAAAAGGAAAAUAAAUCCUUCUAUAAGAGGUCAUUCAUUUAGUUUUAUGAUUCUGAUCAUCUCUCUUCAAAAAUUCUAAAACUUCAAGUUACAAUACAAAACUCCUAAUUAUUCUGUAUACCAAAAAUAAUUAGCAGGGAUAAAAUUAAAAUCCAACCUAGGAAACAACAAAAAUACCUUCCUUUUAGUGUGAUCAAAAUAAUAUACAAUGCUGGGUGCAGAGUGGCAUGCCUGUAAUCCUAGCAGUUUAGGAGGCCAACACAGAAGGAUUGCAAGUUCAAGGCCAGCCUCAGUAACUUAGAGAGGUCCUAACAUCCUUUCUGAAAAUAACAACAAAACAAACAAACAAAAAAUCUAUACACACAGCAGAAGACGCUGGUAUUUUGAAAACAAAUUUUAUCAAUAUGUUUUUUUUUCUAAUUUUCUAGAAUGAUUACACACAUUCUAAACAGUAUGAAACUUAAUUCUGACUGUGAAUACUUAAUAUGAUUCUCAUGUACUUUCUAGUCAUGUAAACUAAAAGAAGUCUUAAAUAUCUGUAACUCAGUUAUUCAGACAAUCAAUGGGAGCAACAUCAAAUCACAGAUAUCAAUAAAUCCUGACCAUCAUGAAUGGUUAACAUAAGAAAGGGACAACCAGACUUUCCCAAUAAAUUCCCCACAGAACCAAACACCACCAACUAUUUCACCUUCCUACCCUGCAAAAUAAGCCAAGUCUCAUCAAGCCUCAAGACCUAACUCAUAGUUUACAGGAAACUCAGAGGGAAGAGAAACAUGGUGAAUGAGCACACAGGGACACAAUGAACAAAAUAUAGAAUGAUAAAAAAUCUACAGGAAAACAUUCAACUUCCUCACUUAACAAAGGAGGGGAUAAGGCCAAAAAAAGCAAGAAGGAUGAAAAACCUAUAGAUGAAAAGAGACUUAUCAGAUAUCUUAACCAACUGCAACAUACACUUGUUAAGAAACAUUGAGAGAGACAAGCAAGGAGAUUGAAUACUGAUUGGCUUUUAUGG
Molecule: long non-coding RNA, 2346 nt
Filed under: Marmota monax (woodchuck)
Lineage: Eukaryota; Metazoa; Chordata; Mammalia; Rodentia; Sciuridae
Source: RNAcentral